UGCCGGGUCCCACGCGGCGAACGCUCGCGAACCAGGUCAGGUCCGGAAGGAAGCAGCCUUAAGUGAUGUCGUUCGGGCGCCGUGGGCAAGCCUGGCCCGA
Molecule: signal recognition particle RNA, 100 nt
Filed under: Thermoleophilaceae bacterium
Lineage: Bacteria; Bacillati; Actinomycetota; Thermoleophilia; Thermoleophilales; Thermoleophilaceae
Description: signal recognition particle sRNA small type
Rfam family: Bacterial small signal recognition particle RNA
About the family: The signal recognition particle (SRP) is a universally conserved ribonucleoprotein involved in the co-translational targeting of proteins to membranes. Archaeal SRP consists of a 7S RNA and homologues of the eukaryotic SRP19 and SRP54 proteins.
Source: RNAcentral